Molecule: ribosomal RNA, 409 nt
Filed under: uncultured bacterium
Lineage: Bacteria
Description: bacterial SSU rRNA
Rfam family: Bacterial small subunit ribosomal RNA
Source: RNAcentral
ACUCCUACGGGAGGCAGCAGAUUGGGCCGGUACUGACGCUCAGGCACGAAAGCAUGGGGAUCAAACAGGAUUAGAUACCCUGGUAGUCCAUGCCCUAAACGAUGUACACUUGAUAUCUGCCCUUAGGGUAGGUGUCGUAGCUAACGCGUUAAGUGUACCACCUGGGGAGUACGCUCGCAAGGGUGAAACUUAAAGGAAUUGACGGACUCCUACGGGAGGCAGCAGAUUGGGCCGGUACUGACGCUCAGGCACGAAAGCAUGGGGAUCAAACAGGAUUAGAUACCCUGGUAGUCCAUGCCCUAAACGAUGUACAUUUGAUGUCGGCCCUCAGGGUCGGCGUCGGAGCUAACGCGUUAAAUGUACCACCUGGGGAGUACGCUCGCAAGGGUGAAACUCAGAGGAAUUGACG